AUAAUUAGGGUACCCUAAAGCUGAGGUUUGGGGGGUGCUCUACAAAAAUGUUAUUAAAAUAAAGCUUUGAGGAAUGGGUUAGUCUGCCCUUUGCAAGAGAGGCCACAGGUGUGGGACUAAUUAGCAAUCAGUUACAGGUGAGUGUUCCCUUCAGUCUCUGCUGCUGCUCAUUGUGAGGCGAGUUCUGCCCCAGAUAUACCAGGCUGAGGAGAGCGGCUGCUCCUGCUACUAAAUGGCCCGCAGUGUUUUAUACGAGCCGUGCCCUUAUCUCAGUCAGGAAGGUGCAACAGAAUAACAGUCUGGGGUGAAAUUGCUGCAGUUUCCGCACCUGUCUUUUCUCAUUGCCCCCGGGCCUCUCCAGUAAGCCGAGUGUCAGGGAUACAUUCCCCUCACUGCUUCGAUUAUUGACAGUGCGAAUGAUAGAAAGAUUUUCUGGGCUGAGAAGAAUGAGAAGCAGAUACAGGGGAAGAAAAACCGUUCUGAAUACAGCAACCCGAGCAGCCCAUGGAUCAGCAUUUUGCUAUAAG
Molecule: long non-coding RNA, 527 nt
Organism: Xenopus laevis (African clawed frog)
Lineage: Eukaryota; Metazoa; Chordata; Amphibia; Anura; Pipidae
Exons: 3
Source: RefSeq, a predicted model, not a curated record